GACGAACGCUGGCGGCGUGCUUAACACAUGCAAGUCACGGGGGCCCGCAAGGGCAACCGGCGAACGGGUGCGUAACACGUGGACAACCUGCCCUCGUGUGGGGGAUAGCCAUGCUAACGCGUGGGUAAUACCGCAUACGUUCCCUUGGAGGAGUCUCUGGGGGAGGAAAGCUCCGGCGCACGGGGAGGGGUUCGCGGCCUAUCAGCUAGUUGGCGGGGUAAUGGCCCACCAAGGCGACGACGGGUAGCUGGCUGAGAGGAUGGCCAGCCACAUUGGGACUGAGAGACGGCCCAGACUCCUACGGGAGGCAGCAGUGGGGAAUCUUGCGCAAUGGCCGAAAGGCUGACGCAGCGACGCCGCGUGUGGGAUGAAGCAUUUCGGUGUGUAAACCACUGUUGCCCGGGACGAACAGCCUUUUUCGAGAGGUCUGACGGUACCGGGUGAGGAAGCACCGGCUAACUCCGUGCCAGCCGCCGCCGUAAG
RNAcentral lists this ribosomal RNA (483 nucleotides) under uncultured bacterium. RNAcentral's name for it is "bacterial SSU rRNA". It matches the Rfam family "Bacterial small subunit ribosomal RNA", at positions 28 to 524 of the family's 1533-position model. The record is from RNAcentral.